This 2887-nucleotide ribosomal RNA is filed under the name Oscillospiraceae bacterium. Its description in RNAcentral is "23S ribosomal RNA". It matches the Rfam family "Bacterial large subunit ribosomal RNA". Lineage: Bacteria; Bacillati; Bacillota; Clostridia; Eubacteriales; Oscillospiraceae. The record is from RNAcentral.
GAUCAAGCUACAAAGGGCGCAGGGAGAAUGCCUUGGCACCGGAAGCCGACGAAGGACGCGAUAAGCAGCGAAAUGCCACGGGGAGUUGCAAGUAAACUGAGAUCCGUGGGUGUCCGAAUGGAGCAAUCCACAUGGUUGAAGACCAUGUAUCAUGUGUUGAAUAAAAUAGGCACAUGAGGGGAGACCGCCUGAACUGAAACAUCUAAGUAGGGCGAGGAAAAGAAAUCAAACGAGAUUCCGAAAGUAGUGGUGAGCGAAAUCGGAGGAGGCCAAACCAAAGGUAGAAAUAUCUUUGGGGUUAGGAUAGUCUAAAGUGAUCGCAAAGGUUAGCUGAAUCGCAUGGGAAGGCGAGCCAUAGAGAGUGAUAGCCUCGUAAGCGAAAACUAGAGCGCAAGGGACUAAUCCAGAGUACUGCGGCACACGAGAAAUGCCGUGGGAAUGAGGUGGGACCACCCUCCAAGCCUAAAUACUAACCGGUGACCGAUAGAGUAACAGUACUGUGAAGGAAAGGUGAAAAGAACCCCGGGAGGGGAGUGAAAAGAACCUGAAACCCUGUGCUUACAAGCAGCUAGAGCACGUCAAUGUGUGAUAGUGUACUUUUUGUAGAACGGUCCGGCGAGCGUAUGUAUGCAGCGAGGUUAAUGACUUGAAGGUCAGGAGCCGAAGCGAAAGCGAGUCUGAAUAGGGCGAAAAUUUGAGUUGCAUGCAUAGGGCCCGAAACCGAGUGACCUACCCGUGUCCAGGUUGAAGUGGAGGUGAGACUUCAUGGAGGACCGAACCAACCGCUGCGAAAAAGUGGUGGAUGAGGUGCGGGUAGCGGAGAAAUUCCAAUCGAACUCGGAGAUAGCUGGUUCUCCCCGAAAUAGCUUUAAGGCUAGCCUCGUGGAAAAACGAUUAUCGGAGGUAAAGCACUGACUGGGAUAGGGGCCGAAAGGUUACCGAACCUUAUCAAACUAAGAAUGCCGAAUAAUUAUACACGGGAGUCAGACUGCGAGAGAUAAGUUUCGUUGUCGAAAGGGAAACAGCCCAGACCCACAGCUAAGGUCCCAAAGUGUGUUUGAGUGUAGAAGGAUGUGGUGUUGCAGAGACAACCAGGAUGUUGGCUUAGAAGCAGCCACUCAUUGAAAGAGUGCGUAAUAGCUCACUGGUCGAGUGAUACUGCGCCGAAAAUGUAAGGGGGCUAAAACACACACCGAAGCUAGGGCAUCAGACGAUAUUUUCGACGUAUUGUGAAAUACUGGAGAAUACGAGAGAUGGGUAGGGGAGCGUUGUAUGGAGGGCGAAGCCAUAGCGGAAGCGGUGGUGGACUUCAUACAAGAGAGAAUGCCGGAAUGAGUAGCGAGAAUUAUGUGAGAAUCAUAAUGGCCGAAAACCUAAGGGAUUUGGAGGAAGGUUCGUCCGCUCCAAGUAAGCCGGGAGCUAAGGCGAGGCCGAAAGGCGUAGUCGAUGCACAUACGGUGGAGAUUCCGUAGCCACCAAAACAUUUAAGUAAAGUGACACUGAGGAAGGUUGUGACCCGGGCGAUGGUUGACCCGGGCGUAAGGGACCGAAGAUUAGUAGGGAAGCACAAGUGGAAUCAGGCGAGAAAAGCUUUAUGGUAUAUGUGAGGUGCCCGUACCGCAAACCGACACAGGUAGGUAGGAAGAGGAUUCUAAGGCCAACGGGAGAAAGGUUGUUAAGGAACUCGGCAAAAUUGCCCCGUAACUUAGGAACAAGGGGUGCUUGCACACACUGAGUGUGUGAGCCGCAGAGAAUAGGUCCAGGCGACUGUUUAUCAAAAACACAGGUCUGUGCUAAAUCGAAAGAUGAAGUAUACGGGCUGACACCUGCCCAGUGCUGGAAGGUUAAGAGGAGAAGUGCAAGCUUCGAAUAUAAGCCCCAGUGAACGGCGGCCGUAACUAUAACGGUCCUAAGGUAGCGAAAUUCCUUGUCAGGUAAAUUCUGACCCGCACGAAUGGUGUAACGAUCUGGACGCUGUCUCAACAGCCUGCCCGGCGAAAUUGUAGUACCGGUAAAGAUGCCGGUUACCCGUGACAAGACGAGAAGACCCCAUGGAGCUUUACUGUAGCCUAAUAUUGAGGCUCGGUGUUUGAUGUACAGGAUAGGUGGGAGACUAGGAGACUAGCGCGUCAGCGCUAGAGGAGUCACCCUUGGGAUACCACUCUUCAUGUAUUGAGAAUCUAACCUGCGGCCAUGAAACUGGUCGAGGGACAGUGUUAGGUGGGCAGUUUGACUGGGGCGGUCGCCUCCAAAAAAGUAACGGAGGCGUUCAAAGGUUAGCUCGACACGGACGGAAACCGUGUGAAAGAGCGCAAACGUAUAAGCUAGCCUGACUGCGAGAGUGACAACUCGAGCAGAUACGAAAGUAGGAGUUAGUGAUCCGGUGGUUAUGUGUGGAAAUGCCAUCGCUCAACGGACAAAAGUUACCCUGGGGAUAACAGGCUGAUCUCCCCCAAGAGUUCACAUCGUCGGGGAGGUUUGGCACCUCGAUGUCGGCUCAUCGCAUCCUGGAGCUGAAUUAGGUUCCAAGGGUUUGGCUGUUCGCCAAUUAAAGCGGUACGCGAGCUGGGUUCAGAACGUCGUAAGACAGUUCGGUCGCUAUCUGUCAUGGGCGCAGGAUAUUUGAGAGGAGCUGUCCCUAGUACGAGAGGACCGGGAUGGACACACCUCUGGUGCACCAGUUGUCGUGCCAACGGCAUAGCUGGGAAGCUACGUGUGGUAAGGAUAAACGCUGAAGGCAUCUAAGCGUGAAGCGAACCUCAAGAUAAGAUAUGCCACUGAGUUAAUCAGGUAAGACCCCUUCGAGACUAGGAGGUAGAUAGGCAUGCGGUGUGAGUAUAGUGAUAUAUUGAGCUAGCAUGUACUAAUCGGUCGAGGGCUUGAUCUU